RNAcentral lists this ribosomal RNA (490 nucleotides) under uncultured bacterium. RNAcentral's name for it is "partial 16S ribosomal RNA". It matches the Rfam family "Bacterial small subunit ribosomal RNA", at positions 29 to 507 of the family's 1533-position model. The record is from RNAcentral.
AGUGAACGCUGGCGGCAGGCCUAACACAUGCAAGUCGAACGGCAGCACAAGAGAGCUUGCUCUCUGGGUGGCGAGUGGCGGACGGGUGAGGAAUGCAUCGGAAUCUGCCCAUUUGUGGGGGAUAACCUCGGGAAACCGGGACUAAUACCGCAUACGACCUACGGGUGAAAGCAGGGGAUCUUCGGACCUUGCGCAGAUGGAUGAGCCGAUGCCGGAUUAGCUAGUUGGAGGGGUAAAGGCCCACUAAGGCGACGAUCCGUAGCUGGUCUGAGAGGAUGAUCAGCCACACUGGGACUGAGACACGGCCCAGACUCCUACGGGAGGCAGCAGUGGGGAAUAUUGGACAAUGGGCGCAAGCCUGAUCCAGCCAUGCCGCGUGUGUGAAGAAGGCCUUCGGGUUGUAAAGCACUUUUGUUGGGAAAGAAAAGCAGCCGGUUAAUACCCGGUUGUCAUGACGGUACCCAAAGAAUAAGCACCGGCUAACUUCGUG